CAGAGAUCCAGAGCAGGACAGCAUCGCAGUGGGCAGCAGGGUAGUGGGGAUCCAGGCUGGGCAGCAACAGGAGACGACUGAAGAAACAUCUGAAGGCAUCUUGACACGUGGGAAAGAGAUAAACAGAAAGGAAGGAAAGAAAAAGAUGUUAGGAAGUGCACAUUAGUGGAGCAUGCAGACUUGCUAAGAUUGGGAAUCUGGAGGGGCAUUACACACUCAAAGGCAAUGCCAGCAGCCCAACACUGGACCGCACACUGGCUCUCCACACUGGGGUGAAGUGGGUCCAGAGGCAGAGCACACACCACAGGGCGAGAAGAGCCGCUACAGCAGCCCUGCACAACAACACACACUACAGUCAGUACAGCUGUGUGUGUGUGUAUGUGUGUGUGUGUGUGUGUGUUUGUGCAUGUCUGUGUG
This 417-nucleotide long non-coding RNA is filed under the name Astyanax mexicanus (Mexican tetra). RNAcentral describes it as "lncRNA (ENSAMXG00005025020.1)". The record is from RNAcentral. Lineage: Eukaryota; Metazoa; Chordata; Actinopteri; Characiformes; Acestrorhamphidae.